RNAcentral lists this long non-coding RNA (2505 nucleotides) under Pelobates cultripes (western spadefoot toad). Lineage: Eukaryota; Metazoa; Chordata; Amphibia; Anura; Pelobatidae. The record is from RNAcentral.
CAGGGCCAGAUUAAGAGCCCAGUGGGCCUGGUGCUGACAAUUAUGACGGGCCUAAUUACAGAAUCAUAUCGACCAAAAACAGUAAAACACUCCCAAGCAUCAUGUAUCUGAUGGAGAUGGUGCUGGAGAGAAAGAAAACAGCAGCUAUAAGACAACACAUACCCUAGGCUAAUCUCUCUCUAAUUUAUGUUUUCAUCUUUCAAGUAAAUCUAUAACUCCUAACAGCAGUGUCCAAUCAAGCAGGAAGUCAAUGGGCACUGUAAAAGGGUGUGCCUCUGACAUAAAUCACGUAACCUGCCAAAAGGGACGAACAAGCCCAAAAAGAGGAUAUGUCUGCCCAAAGAAUUAGAAGGCCAGCCUGGUAUGAAUGCAUGCCAGGCUGCCUGCCAAUCAUGCAGCUGGCCAACUAAGGGCAUACUAUGCAGACAGCACCCUGAGCUUGGCAUAAAUGCAUCUAAUGAUGCACUCGCUCAACGCUUUCUAAGGACUGUCCCCUAGCACUCGCUGGUCCACUUGUCUCCUUACAUUCUUACUAGCAGGCAGAAGCUCCUGGUAUAUAGUCAGGGACAGAGAAAAGCUGUAUGUAGUGAGUGUAGAAGAAAGGGAACAUGCCACAGUGUUAGAGAGACCAAAGUCAGCAUUACCUUAAAGGAUCACUAUAGGGUCAGGAACACAAACAUGAAUUCAUGACCCUAUAGUGUUAACACCACCAUCUAGCCCCCCCUGGGCCCCUCAUGCCUCCAUAAAUAUAGCAAAAUCUUACUGUAUUCAAGCCUGGAGCUGUAACUCUGCAUGCUGUUAGACUCAGAAAAACAAGCAGUCUGCUGACAUCAUUAGCAGUGGUGGCCUAAUCCAAUCACAGUGCUUCCCCAUAGGAUUGGCUGAGACUGACAAAGAGGCAGAUCAAGGGCAGAGCCAGCAUGAUUCAAACACAGCCCUGGCCAAUCAGCAUCUCCUCAUAGAGAUGAAUUGAAUCAAUGAAUCUCUAUGAGGAAAGUUCAUUGUCUGUAUGCAGAGGGAGGAGACACUGAAUGUUUGGAUGCAUUUUAGUCAGCCAUGACCCAGGAAGGAUCUCUAACAGCCAUCUAAGGAGUGGCCAGUGAAAUUAUCACUAGGCUGUAAUGUAAAGACUGCAUUUUCUAUGAAAAGACAGUGUUUACAGCCAAAAGCCUGACGGUAAUGAUUCUACUCACCAGAACAAAUUCAAUAAGCUGUAGUUGUUCUGGUGACUCUAGUGUCCCUUUAACUAUAUUCAUUGUCAGCCAGUCCACACAAGUUUUGUUCCCAUCCAUCCCUCUUAAGUGUCCAUACUUAAAUAAGAGUAUGUGAAAAGUAGUUAGGGUUGCCACCUUUCUUGGAAAAACACACCUUGCUAAUUUGCAUAAUUAAAUAUGUAUGGAUGACAUCACAUGAUGUAAAUCACAAGGAGUGACAUAAGAGAAAAUGCUGUAAAAUCACCAAAAAACUACUUAGUUUGAUUUUGCUGUAUAGAUGGAUUCCUCCCAGUGGCCCCAUGUCUCCCAGUGCCCCCACGUGUCGAUUAUUCCAGGUCUCAGUGUUCCUAUGUAUCAGUGUCUCAGUGCCCGAUGUCUCCCAGUGUCCCCUAGUGUCGUGUCCCCAGGUCUCCCAGUGAUCCUAUGUAUCACAGUGUCUCAAUGCCCCAUGUCUCCCUGUGUCCUCAAGUAUCCCAGGUUCCCCAUGUCACUAGGAAGACGGGAAGACCUGGGGACACGGGGAGACCUAGGGACACGGAGACACCAGUGACACUGGGAGACUACGGGACUCUGGCUGGGAUGCAUGGGGACACUGGGAAAAUAGGGGACACUUGAAGACAUGGGGACACAGACACCAGGGACACAGACACUAGAGACACUGGCUGGGGGACAUUGAGACAUGGGGAAAAGGAGACACCAGGGCCACAGACACAAGGAACACUAGCUUGGAGACAUGGGGACAUUGAGACACUUGAGGCACUGGGAAACAUGGAGGCACUAGGAGAUAUGGGCACAGUGAGACACUGGCAGACUGGGGGCACUGGGAGACUAGGGGGCACUGAGACACCAGGGACACUGUCUGGGAGACAUGGGGACACUGUGUUCCCAUGUGUCUGUGUCAUAAUGUCUCCCAAUGUCCCUUAGUGUCUCAGUGUCCCCAUGUCUCCUUGCAGCCUUUGCCCCAUCCCUUACUUCCCUGAGCUGUAGGCUGUCUCUGCAGGGUGGGAAUUGCUGUCUGGACUCUCUGUAACUGCACCCCUGCAGAUCAGUGAGUAUAGAUAGGCAGGGAGGGAUAUGCUGGAACUUCCUAUCCCUGCCUGUCUCCACAUACAGCGACCCCUACUGGCCAGUGCUGGUAUUGCAUAGUAAUCUCUUGUUUAUACUGAGAAAAAUACCAGCAUUUGUAUUGCCAGUCUCACUGCAAUAUUGGCACCAGCCAGGCAGCCUCAAAUACUGGCUGUGCCAAUAAAAUAAAAGCCAGUUGGAAUCCCUAAGAGUAGUGUGUGGAAAA